CUAUAUCCAAAUCCUACCCGAUAUCCAAUCGGAUAAGAAAAGAGAUACCCAUCCCCAUACCCAACGGGUUCGGGGAUACCCGUGGGUAACCCAUUUCCCCAUACCCAAUCCAUACCCACCCCAUACCCAACCCAUACCCGUCCAUUCUAUACCCAAAAAAAAGUAAAAUAAUUUUAUGCAUAUUAUCAAUCAAAAAUAGAAUUACCAAUUAUAUAU
Molecule: long non-coding RNA, 216 nt
Filed under: Elaeis guineensis (African oil palm)
Lineage: Eukaryota; Viridiplantae; Streptophyta; Magnoliopsida; Arecales; Arecaceae
Description: long non-coding RNA (EGUI_LNC012072)
Source: RNAcentral